RNA transcript from Ailuropoda melanoleuca (giant panda), 4155 nucleotides. It is a transcript of the gene named N-terminal glutamine amidase 1, with no coding region annotated. The transcript has 8 exons. The record is from RefSeq and is a predicted model, not a curated record. NCBI's taxonomy places the organism in Eukaryota, Metazoa, Chordata, Mammalia, Carnivora, Ursidae.
ACCACCCGGGAACUGCAGCAGCUGCCCCGGGCUCCGCCCCGAGGACCCGCGCGGCCCGCCAAGCGCCGGCUCCUCCCCCGAAGCCUGCCCGUGGGACUGGUCCAGUCGUUUCGCCUCAGGCUCGUGCCCGGGCCCAAGCAAGCCCGCCAUGGAGGGGGAUAUCCCCGCCGCUGCAGCCGCCCGCUACCAACCGGCCAGCCCCCCGCGGGACGCCUGUAUCUACAACAGCUGCUACUGUGAAGAAAAUAUUUGGAAGCUCUGCGAAUACAUCAAAAACCAUGACCAGUAUCCUUUAGAAGAAUGUUAUGCUGUCUUCAUAUCUAAUGAGAGGAAGAUGAUACCUAUUUGGAAACAACAGGCAAGACCUGGAGAUGGACCUGUGAUCUGGGAUUACCAUGUUGUCCUGCUUCAUGUUUCAAGUGGAGGACAGAGCUUCAUUUAUGAUCUUGACACUGUCCUGCCAUUUCCCUGUCCGUUUGACACUUAUGUGGAAGAUGCCUUUAAGUCCGACGAGGACAUCCAUCCACAGUUUAGAAGGAAAUUUAGAGUGAUCCGUGCAGAUUCGUAUUUGAAGAACUUUGCUUCUGACCGAUCUCACAUGAAAGAUUCCAGUGGGAACUGGAGAGAACCUCCUCCAUCAUAUCCCUGCAUUGAAACUGGAGAUUCCAAAAUGAACCUGAAUGAUUUUAUCAGUAUGGAUCCUGAGGUAGGAUGGGGAGCCGUGUACUCCCUAUCUGAAUUUGUACAUCGGUUUGGCAGUCAGAACUACUGAACUUGACAUCUGGAUGUAGAACCAUGGAGAAGUUCUAGGACACGAACAGUCCAUCCCUUCACUGGGGACAGCAAACACUAUGAUCCUCUGCCUUGUGCUAUGGAGGGACACCUGCAGUCGUUACUCAAGAAUCAGUCAAAGGAAAUGUCAUGUAUCCGUUUGGUUCAGCUGAUCAGGAGGCUUCUGGGAGAAAGUGAAUGAACCUUUGAUCAUGCUGUCCUUGUCCACGCAGCUUUCUCUCAAGACUCUCAGGCCUCAGCCUUUUCACUUCUCAGUCUGGAGGGCACAUCACAGAUGACUUCUGCAGGUGGCCAGGAUCUUGCGAGGUGAUUUUAUUCGCGUCACCCACACUCUCAGUGGGCUCCUCACUCCACAAACGUACCUUGUCCUUUGUCCUGUGUCUGACUGUGGCUCAGGGGAUGUCCCCUUUUCCUCUGAGCAGACUAUCUCUUUCACCCUCUCAGCCACGGAGAGUGUGGCUUUGGCUGUGACCUGUAGCAGGUGUCUGUUGGGGCCAGGCUUUUAGAAACAUCUAUUUGUUAUCAAGGGAGCAGUCACAGCUGAAUUUCGCUUAGAGUCAACAGGCAGGUUUUCCUGAGGUUACCAUGGGGACCUGGAGUUUGAGAGCAAUUUCUGGGAAAAACACUGGGAAGAAAUUGAGGGGCAAAAUGUUAAUACAGUCACAGUGUCCUGGCACACACCAUUUCUAGAAUCAUGGGUGAUGGAUGAGUCAUUUUCCCACUCAAGGCCCACAGGGUGCAGAGCUGAUGUGAUCGCGAAGGCCAGGUGUGGAGGAGGCCUAGUUCCUGCGCUCAGAAUACAAGAAAAAUCAGGUUUCAGUCCUUAGUCCCCAUUACAGCUGUGCUUUUUGUUCACCAGUUGCUGUGUUACCUUGGGGAAAUCACUUAACCUCUCUGGGCCUUUGUUGCUUCACUUAAGGUUAUUUUGAGAGCGUGUGUGUGCGUGCGCACACGUGUGUGUGUGAGAAAGAAAGAGAGGUUUCAUACUCUGAAAGGUAAAGUGUUUUAAAUUGCUAAUACUCGGGGCGCCUGGGUGGCACAGCGGUUAAGCGUCUGCCUUUGGCUCAGGGCGUGAUCCUGGCGUUAUGGGCGAGCCCCACAUCAGGCUCCUCUGCUCUGAGCCUGCUUCUUCCUCUCCCACUCCCCCUGCUUGUGUUCCCUCUCUCGUUGGCUGUCUCUAUCUCUGUCAAAUAAAUAAAUAAAAUCUUAAAAAAAAAUUGCUAAUACUCAUUUCGUGUGUAAUAUAUGCCAUAUCUUUUUUUUUAAAUGUCAUUUUAAAGUGAUCCUUUUGCUUUCCCAUCCUCUUAGUUCUGUCACUUAAAUGACUUUGUCACCUGUUGGACUUCUAGGCAUCUUGGAAACUUAAAAACAAACAAAUCAAUUUGGCUCAACCUCUAUGGAGGGUAACCCGAAUAUUUAUCUUUAAAAAUGACCUAUAAAAAUACUUUUUGACUUAGUCAUUCCCCAUGUAGGAAUUUGUUUUCCAGAACUACUGCACAUACGUAAGACGUGGAUAAACAGGUUAUUCACUGUAGCAUUUGGAUAACAACACAAGAUUGGAAAUCACCUGUAGGCCCAUCCACUGGAGCCCGAUGGGGUGAAAUGUAAUCCAGCUGUAGAGGAAAGUAUUAUGAAGCUGUGAAAAUAAAUGAGCAAGGUUGUUCCUUAAGCUGAGUGGUGAUGUUUCUUUUCUUUUGUGUUAACUUACGUUAUAUUCUUUUGUAUCCUAGAUAUUUAGUAAAGUUUAAAAAUCAAGUGAAACAGUGUGUAUUAAAACACAAAAAUACAUGUGUAUUUGCUUGUAUUUGGACAGAAUAUCUAAAAGAAUAUCCAAUAUCCAAAAUAAACUGGUAAUAUUGGCUGCCUCUAGAGAGGAGAACCAGUGGCCGGGGUUGGGAAGGGAGGGAAACUCCAUUGUAUACCCUUUUCUGUUUUUAAGAGUUGUGAUCUCUGUGAAUGUAUUACUGGUUAGAAAUAGAUUUAAAAUAAAAAAAACAAACCACAUGUUCCAUCACUUACACAUUUACCCACAUAACUUUUUUUUUUUAAACACACACAACUUUUAACAGGUACGGUUUCAGGUACUCUCUGUCGUGAAAGGCGCUUUCACCAACAGCAGGAAAAGUCAGGAUGUGUGAGGCACACUUAACAGAAUGUGGAGGUAAUGUUCACAUGAUGAGAGCCUGCGGAAUGAGGAAGCAUGCCCUCCAUUGUUCUUCCAUUAUACUGCUCUUCGCCUCGUGUUCACCAGCUCUAAACUGUGAUUUUGCUGCUGGGAGUGAAGGUUAGACCUCCGAGCAGCAGGGGAAUGCUUUGUGUGCUGGUAAAGGGUGUGUUUCUGUGCCGCAUAUGGGUUUGAGCUGCACUUUGGUGCAGAAAGGCUCAGGAGGCCCGUGAGCUCAUGCAAAGAGACUAACCCUUCUGAGUAGAUUCCUCUUGUUUAAAGAAUCUUAACACCUCGAGGGAACCCAUAAUGAUAGCUCACAUUUAUUGGGUACUCGUUUUGUAUCCGGCAUUGCUCAAAGCCACUCACUGUGUAUAAAAUUAUUAUCCUUACAACAACCCGAUGAAGUGGGAAUUAGUAUUAUCCCCAUUAUUCAGGUGAGGAAACAGGCAUGGGCAACUUAGCCGAAGGAGCACAGUUAAUACAUAGAAGAACGUGAUUUGAACCUGGGUCUGACUCCAGAAUUACUACCUCACAAAAUGAAGAUGCAGGCACGUUGGAAUAAAUCCAAAGGCAAAAUUAGAGCAUUGUCCUCUGAAAAGCAGAGUGGAUUAUAGAAGUAAGAACCUGGGGAAGUAAUGGGGUGGCCUGUCAUGAACGACAAGAUGAGAUUUAGGGCUUAAUCUUAUAGGAGAAAAGGAGCUAUGGUGGCAAACUCUUAGCAGAGGGCUGUGGGAAGACUAGAACUUUGCAGAGGGUCCUUUGACUGGGGUUGGCAGGUUGGGGUUGGCAGAGUGGGGAGACCAGGGGGAAGAGGCCUCCGCAUGCAAAUCGAUGGGGUCAGGACUAGGGAGGGUGCCAUGGUCAUGGAAGGAUGCAUCUGGGAUGUUUCUCUGCAAGGAUUUGGUAGGGUUUGUACUAGUUGAAGAUUGAAAAGAAAUCAAGUAGAGAAUAACAUGGUUAGUUAGCAUACUCUAUCCUGCAGGCAUCGGUCAUGGAGAAGGUAUUUCAUCCUCCUUUCACAUUCUGGUGCAUUUAAUGCUUCUGCUAGCUACUAUGCUCAAGGCUUUCAUGGUCAAUCACUUGUCUGCUGAACGGUUCUUCCAGGGGCGCCUGGGUGGCUCAGUCCUUAAGCGUCUACCUUCGGCUCAGGGCGUGAUCCCAGGGUCCUGGAGUCAAGCCCCGCAUCGGGCUCCCUG